This is a long non-coding RNA of Myotis davidii, 378 nucleotides long. RefSeq lists it as uncharacterized. Lineage: Eukaryota; Metazoa; Chordata; Mammalia; Chiroptera; Vespertilionidae. The transcript has 3 exons. The record is from RefSeq and is a predicted model, not a curated record.
UAUGUUAAGAUUAUGCUUAGUUUUGUAAGAAACCAACAAGCUGUCUUCCAAUGGGGCUGUACCAUUUUGCAUUCCCACCAGCAAUGAAUGAGACCUUGUGUAGUUGCACAUUCUCACUGGCUUUAUUUUGUAUUCUGUACUGUCAGUUCUUUGGAUUUUGAUAAUUCUAAUAGAGAUGUUAUUUUGGGCAAAAAGACUGGAGAUUUCACGGGAUCCAAGAGGUCUUUCUGAGGAGCAUUCUGUGAAAUCCCUGCAAAAGUUAUCCUAGCAAAAUUUCCCACACUAAUUAAAUAUGCCAAAGAUGGCUUCAAUGGAGAUUAACCUCUGAGUUUAAGGCUUAAGUAUCAUCAUCAUCAUCAUCAUCAUCAUCAUCAUCAU